Molecule: non-coding RNA, 99 nt
Organism: Triangularia setosa
Lineage: Eukaryota; Fungi; Ascomycota; Sordariomycetes; Sordariales; Podosporaceae
Source: the annotation of a GenBank genome assembly
CCCCUUGUGGUGUAGUUGGCUAUCACGUUCGGCUGUAAAUGUUCUUUGAUCGUUUAUCGAUAUACCGAAAGGUCACCGGCUCGAUUCCGGUCGAGGGGA